GGUCUGUUCGUCUAGUGGCUUAGGACAUUACCCUCUCAAGGUAAAGACAGUUUAAGGUUCGAAUCCUCUACAGACUA
RNAcentral lists this transfer RNA (77 nucleotides) under Caudoviricetes sp. RNAcentral's name for it is "tRNA-Glu". It matches the Rfam family "tRNA". From Rfam's summary of the family: Transfer RNA (tRNA) molecules are approximately 80 nucleotides in length. Their secondary structure includes four short double-helical elements and three loops (D, anti-codon, and T loops). The record is from RNAcentral. Lineage: Duplodnaviria; Heunggongvirae; Uroviricota; Caudoviricetes.